Small nuclear RNA from Cercocebus atys (sooty mangabey), 107 nucleotides. Lineage: Eukaryota; Metazoa; Chordata; Mammalia; Primates; Cercopithecidae. The record is from Ensembl.
GUGCUCUCUUCGGCAGCACAUAUACCAAAACUGGAAUGAUACAGAGAGGUUAUUAGCAUGGCCCUGUGCAAGGAUGAUGCACAAUUUAUGAAGCAUUUCAUAUUUUU